GAAUCAGCUAUAGCUUUUUUAUUUCCUACACUGUGGUUCCUAUAGGAGCAAGAAGCUUUCAGCAAAACCAGACUAGCAUAUACAAAGUCUCAUCCAGCAGAACUGGCCUUGUGAUGGACAGCUCAGCCAACCUGUGCUAUGGCAUGACUGAAGCAACGGAGGGAAUCAUGUCUUUUGGCUAAGCAGUCUUCUACCAGUUCCAUCUGAAGCAGCAGACCUUAAUGCAUCUAGAGAACUUUUAGUGAAGUGUCUAUUUAAUGUUAGGCGAUUUAAACAGUGCUUGACCAAUGGAUUUUGAUCAGAAAUCAGGUUAGCUAAUCUGCCACAAGGCAAUGCAGCAGCUGCCCUACCCUCUGAACCACUACAUCUGGUCUCUUGCCCUCAGAAGAAGUUAACAAAUCACAUUACAGGAUAGAGUGAAAAUCUCCCAUAAUCUAGCCGGCUGGUUCCCUAAUAGAACACAGCAAUAGGAAGAAGGACUCCUACCUCCUAAAUCACAUUGUACACUGUGUCAUCUCACGUCGUAAAACUGUAUUCUUGUAUUUGUUGUUGGUUUACUGUUUCUAAUAGUGCAUACCUAAACUGGGACAUUACCUAAAAUUCAUCUUUCUGAAUUGUCCCCCCACUUCUUAACAAUAGUUCACUAAUAGCAUAGGUAUUCUGAUCUUUAUUUCCCACUUCAUUUCAUCAUUUUCAACCUCUUAUAUGGGCAGUAAGUUUUCCUGAAGAUAUCUUACAAUACAAACAGAAUUCCUCAGUCUGUAGGCUCCACACUUCCAAGAAUUACUCUUCUUGAGAGAGCAUUAACACCUAUCUUGUACAGAUUCAUUUUAGCCAAGAUAAUAUGGCCUGCUUUUCUGCAGUGCUAGUUAUUUGUAGCUCUUCUAUUUCAACUUGAAUUGAAGAUGUGUUUACUAUAUCUAAGCAAGUGGGUGUGAUAUAUAAUAGAUUAAAAAAAAAACCCCACAAGUUAAAGAUCGUAUGCUGUGAUUUGUUCUGGGACAAAUUAGAAAAGAUAUAAAACAUAUGUCCUCAAAUGUUACAUUCUUUUUAAAAGUCACUUUGGAAAUGACUGAAUAGCCUAGGAAUGGAAACUUAACAAUUAUGAUUACGGACAGCAUUUGGCUUCAUAAACUUCACUGUCUUCUGCCUUGUCUGAAAUCCUCUAUGCUUGCUUUAAUCUGAAAAUUGAUUUUAUUACUAAUAAAAUGAAGAAAUG
Molecule: long non-coding RNA, 1219 nt
Filed under: Dromaius novaehollandiae (emu)
Lineage: Eukaryota; Metazoa; Chordata; Aves; Casuariiformes; Dromaiidae
Description: lncRNA (ENSDNVG00000001396.1)
Source: RNAcentral